This 661-nucleotide non-coding RNA is filed under the name Pan troglodytes (chimpanzee). Lineage: Eukaryota; Metazoa; Chordata; Mammalia; Primates; Hominidae. The record is from RNAcentral.
AAAAACAAGCGCCGGCCCCGGCGUCCGCCGCGCAGUUAGGAAACUGACUGUCGCUCUCUCCGGCCUCGGCGCUGCUUCGGACGCCCCGGCACCGGCCCCCGUUGCUUUGUAGCAUUCUGCAGCUGGGCUGCAGGCGCCGUGGGCCUCCGCCAGUUGUGUUCGAGACGCGGUUCGGCCACAGAAGUUUUAGCUGUGUGACUUUUGGCAAGUCAGUGGCCCUCUCUGGGCCUCAGGUGCCUUUUUUUGCUGUGAGACCAGCGACUGUAUUUUUAACCCUGAUUCUAUCCCUAGAUCUACCCAACACAUAGUAGGUGCUCAAAAGAUAUUUAUGAGUGAAUGAAUGCAUCAUGAGAAGAAAUUGGACCAGAUGAGGCCCUGUGAAGCUGCUUGGGUCUUUUUUUGUUCUUUUUUUUUUUUUUUUCUCUUCUGAGUGUCCCUGGCCUGGACUAGAAAUUCUCCAUCCUUCGGCCUUCUGCGAGACUGCAGGAACAUUACUUUUGAAGGAUGCUAAGGAAUCCGAGGGAUGAAAAAAAUCAAGAGAUUGCAAUGAUGUCACAAAACAAAGAAACAAGUGCAGCAUCUUCACUCCGAAGCAGAAAUUUGCCAAAAAAGCAUCCUCUUUUUAUCAGAAAAUAAAAUAUCCUGGUUUCUUAGCCUGGCA